AUUGAACGCUGGCGGCAGGCCUAACACAUGCAAGUCGAACGAGUGGCGGACGGGUGAGUAAUGUCUGGGAAACUGCCUUAUGGAGGGGGAUAACUACUGGAAACGGUCGCUAAUACCGCAUACCAUCGGAUGUGCCCAGAUGGGAUUAGGUAGUUGGUGGGGUAAAGGCCUACCAAGCCGACGAUCCCUAGCUGGUCUGAGAGGAUGACCAGCCACACGGGAACUGAGACACGGUCCAGACUCCUACGGGAGGCAGCAGUGGGGAAUAUUGCGCAAUGGGGGCAAGCCUGAUGCAGCCAUGCCGCGUGAAUGAAGAAGGCCUUCGGGUUGUAAAGGACUUUCAGUAUGGAGGCGUUAACUACAGAAGAAGCACCGGCUAACUCCGUGCCAGCAGCCGCGGUAAUUC
RNAcentral lists this ribosomal RNA (406 nucleotides) under uncultured bacterium. RNAcentral's name for it is "partial 16S ribosomal RNA". It matches the Rfam family "Bacterial small subunit ribosomal RNA", at positions 30 to 526 of the family's 1533-position model. The record is from RNAcentral.